RNAcentral lists this small nuclear RNA (108 nucleotides) under Tursiops truncatus (common bottlenose dolphin). RNAcentral also lists the same sequence under 1 other name. The record is from RNAcentral. Lineage: Eukaryota; Metazoa; Chordata; Mammalia; Artiodactyla; Delphinidae.
GUGCUCGCUUUGGUAAUACAAAUACUAAAACUUAAAUAAUUUGGAGAAGGUUAGUACUUUCCCUAUGCAAGGACGACACAAAUGAUUCAUGAAGCUCAUUGGUCUUGG